This 407-nucleotide ribosomal RNA is filed under the name uncultured bacterium. RNAcentral describes it as "partial 16S ribosomal RNA". It matches the Rfam family "Bacterial small subunit ribosomal RNA", at positions 30 to 526 of the family's 1533-position model. The record is from RNAcentral.
AUUGAACGCUAGCGGGAUGCUUUACACAUGCAAGUCGAACGGAGUGGCGGACGGGUGAGUAAUAUAUCGGGACAUUUCCAGUAUCGGGGGGUAACUCAUCGGGAGAGUGCCUAAUAUACCACACUCGUGGAGCGGCCGCUAUCGGAUUAGCUAGUUGGUGGGGUAAAGGCUCACCAAGGCAACGAUCCGUAGCUGGUCUGAGAGGACGACCAGCCACACUGGGACUGAGACACGGCCCAGACUCCUACGGGAGGCAGCAGUGGGGAAUUUUGGACAAUGGGGGAAACCCUGAUCCAGCCAUCCCGCGUGUAUGAUGAAGGCCUUCGGGUUGUAAAGUACUUUUGGCAGAGAAGCGGUAUCUGCAGAAUAAGCACCGGCUAACUACGUGCCAGCAGCCGCGGUAAUUC